RNAcentral lists this long non-coding RNA (895 nucleotides) under Anas platyrhynchos (mallard). RNAcentral's name for it is "lncRNA (ENSAPLG00020016550.1)". The record is from RNAcentral. Lineage: Eukaryota; Metazoa; Chordata; Aves; Anseriformes; Anatidae.
CGAGCGGCCCUGCUGGCUCCGUAGCUGCAGGACUUUCUCCGUACGGAGCAUUUCGGCCGAGACACGGCUCGGCCAGGCCCGGCACGGCCCCGGGCUCGCCGCCCGCCUGCGCACGGUGCGAGAGGCGGUGCUGCAUGGAGAGGGAGGGACGGAGAGGAGCGGAGGGGAGGGACGGGAAAGCGGCGGGAGGCGAUGCUGGGGCCGGCCUGAGGGAGCGGUGUGGAGGCGGAGGGACUGGGCUGAGGGGGAGCUCUGAGGGGUGGGCGGGAGCGGGCUGAGGGAACCGGGCUGAAGCUGAGGGGAGUUUCUGAGGGAAAGGCGGGAGCGGGCUGAGGGGAAAUUCUGAGGGAGAGGUGUGGAAAAGCUGAGGGGAAUUUCUGAGGAAAAGGCCUCCUGUUACAAGGGCAGAGAUGAUUUGCGUUGGACGCACUGGGAGACUGGAAAGGCUUCGGAGAAGAACAAGAAGAAGCUGUCUUGCUAUGCCUAAACUAGUCCUGCAUAAAUGCAUGUGUGUGAACCUCCAUGGUCGUUCAUGGCAUCUCUCAGGAGCAGACCCAGAAUACGUGGCGCAAACUAUUUGUCCUUACGAGGAGAAAAGACUGGGAAAGAGCCAAGGCAGUAUGUCACUGUAUGUUCCUGUUUAUUCUACUUGCUUAUUUUUCACAUAUUUUAUAAAAUGUGUAUCUCCAAUGACUAAUACUUCUGAGUAACCAAUUGGUGCCAGUAAAUGGAAGUACCAUCUGUAAGAAACUGAUUUGUAGAAGCCAAGUUCUCAAACAUAUGAGGAGGAGGAGGUGUUAUAACUUAGUGAGAGACGACUGAAGUGUGGACUUGGUUUUGGUAGUCUAGAUGAUUUUAGAUGCGUUAUGUAAGCAGGAUGUGAAAGGAAAGGGGA